UACGGAGGGAGCUAGCGUUGUUCGGAAUUACUGGGCGUAAAGCGCGCGUAGGUGGCUUUGCAAGUCAGAGGUGAAAUCCCGGGGCUCAACCCCGGAACUGCCUUUGAAACUGCAUCGCUAGAGUCUUGGAGAGGUAAGUGGAAUUCCGAGUGUAGAGGUGGAAUUCGUAGAUAUUCGGAAGAACACCAGUGGCGAAGGCGACUUACUGGACAAGUACUGACACUGAGGUGCGAAAGCGUGGGGAGCAAACAGG
Molecule: unclassified non-coding RNA, 253 nt
Filed under: uncultured Sphingomonadaceae bacterium
Lineage: Bacteria; Pseudomonadati; Pseudomonadota; Alphaproteobacteria; Sphingomonadales; Sphingomonadaceae
Description: contains 16S-23S intergenic spacer region
Rfam family: Bacterial small subunit ribosomal RNA
Source: RNAcentral